AUGUCGGGGCUCCAGUAUUGGGCAGACCUCCCCAAUGAUCUGCUUCACUCCAUUGUUUCUCUGUUGGGCACCUUCCCUGACCUUCUUGCCUUUGCUGCCACUUGCCGCUCAUGGUGUGCCGCCUUCUCCUCACAUCCAUCCAAAUCUAACUUCUCGACACUUCUCCCACCUCUCCUCCUCCAACCUGAUGUCCCUAGUCCUCUGGAUAGUUAUGAUUUCUGGGGUGCUUCCUAUGGACAUCUCAUCUUGUCCAACAAGAAAUCUUGUCUUGUUGUUGAUGUCUUCACAGGUGUUAGUGUCUCAACUCCACAGACUGCUCCUCCAGCAUCACCCCACUCACAUCUCCUUGUCACCACCGGAAGUCAGAAUUUCUUUUGGCUUGUUGGUAGCCAUGCUUGGUUGAGUUGUUCUGCGCACAUUGGAAUACUCAAGCAAGUAGUGAUCUUCAAGGGUCAGGUCUUCGGUAUGGAUUAUGAUUGCAGGCUCUUUAUCAUACACUUGGUACCUCAAAUUCGCAUAGAGAAAAUAGCAGUUGAUUAGGAGGGAAGCAUGACCAGCAAACAACAUCUUUCUCACCCAUGGCUUGUGGCGUGCGGUGAUAUGCUUCUCCUUGUCGGUUGCCAUCGAUCUCUUCCAUCAACCGGGGAUAACUUUGAAGCCUUCCGCCUCGACUUAUCGAGAAAACCUGCAAAGUGGUUGAAGGUGGAGAAGCUAGAGAAUUGGGCGAUAUUCUUCAGCAUUGACGAAAGAAGCCAGCCGUUGUGUUGCAAGAACCCAGAGAGAUGGGGAGGGACGAGCAACUGCAUAUACUGCUAUUUCCAUGAUUCCAAAAAUUGGAUCACAUUUGAGUUGGGUAAGCCACUGCAGGGAGAGGCCUCCAAUCCAAGCGUCAUUAUUUUCAUAAGCCGUGACGAUGUGAUGCAACCUAUGUGGGUCAUGCCUAGUAUGUUCUGUGAUGGUUGA
Molecule: ribosomal RNA, 963 nt
Filed under: Triticum aestivum (bread wheat)
Lineage: Eukaryota; Viridiplantae; Streptophyta; Magnoliopsida; Poales; Poaceae
Description: partial small subunit ribosomal RNA
Source: RNAcentral